This 663-nucleotide ribosomal RNA is filed under the name Triticum aestivum (bread wheat). RNAcentral's name for it is "partial small subunit ribosomal RNA". Lineage: Eukaryota; Viridiplantae; Streptophyta; Magnoliopsida; Poales; Poaceae. The record is from RNAcentral.
AUGAAUCUUUUGGCCUGGAACUGUCGAGGAUUGGGGUUGGACUCGACGGUUGGCGAACUGAGAGACCUGAUACGGUCCUACAACCCAGCGGUGGUUUUUCUUUGUGAAACUAAAAAAAACGGCGAGGCGAUGGAGCGACUCCAGUGGAGCUUGGGCUUUAAUCGUGGAGUAGCGGUAGACUGUCAAGGGAAGAGUGGGGGUCUUGCUCUAUGGUGGAGAGAUCAUCUUCAAGUUACCGUGCGUCCGUGGAGCCAGUACUUUAUUGAUGCAGAGGUGAUGUGGGAAGAGAAAACUUGUAGGAUCACUGGAUUCUAUGGGAAACCUCGAACGGAACUACGCAAGAAAUCUUGGGAUGCUCUUAGAUACUUGAGGGCUCAAGAUGAUCUGCCGUGGAUUUGCUUGGGCGAUUAUAAUGAGGCUUUGUUUCUUUCUGACCAGAUUGGGGGUAAUCCAAGACCUUUCAUGCAAAUGGAAGAUUUUCGGGACUGUCUUGCUGAUUGUGGUUUGGCAGACUUGGGGUUCUCGGGCUAUCAAUAUACAUGGGAUAAUAAGCGGGAUGGUGUGGAAAAUAUUCAAGUGCGGUUAGAUCGAGCCACUUGUACCGAUUCUUUCUUACGGAUGUUCCCAGAAACAUCAGUUGAACACCGUAACCGAAGAGUCUGA